RNAcentral lists this unclassified non-coding RNA (892 nucleotides) under Hevea brasiliensis (rubber tree). The record is from RNAcentral. Lineage: Eukaryota; Viridiplantae; Streptophyta; Magnoliopsida; Malpighiales; Euphorbiaceae.
GGUAGAAGGUAGAGAGUAGACAGGAAACACAACAAAUCAUCCCCUUUGGUGAUGAGAGUGGAAUAAUGUUAUAUAUGAUAUGAUAACUAUGUUUUAAGCCACAGAAUCCGAGAGGGACAUCCAGUGGCAGCAGAGUACUUAGAAGGGCAGUCGAUGUUUCGAAGACAUUUGUCAAAGCACAGAACCACUUCCGCCAAUUGAGACUGAAGAAUAUACUUCAGGUUGAGGGUGCAGCGUAGAGCAGGCUUCCCAUUAAAGCUUUUGGUUAGGGCUGUUUCAAUGUCGGACGUUUGGUAUAGCCUUCCAUUUAUGGGUUCCAACCCAGAUUUGUUAAGGGCUUCCUCCACGUCGCUCCUCCAAAAAAGGUAAAGAGCUAAUCGGAAAUAGUCAGCGAUUUUGAAAGUUGGAGUUUCGAAGCAUGUGCCGUGUGUAUUCCACUCUUCACUCCAUACUGCUGGGUUUGAACUUAUUAUCAAACUUGGCCAAUCCUCAUCUAGUUCUUUUCUUAUGCUUGUUAUGUUUUGUUGAAGAAAUCUACUGCCGAUGCAACGACCAAUAGGACGAGAAUAGCUAGCAGCCCAAAGACCGUUGAUGCUAAACCUCGACGACGAGGGUCUUAGACAAAUGACAUUGCUGCAAGUUGCUGGUUGCCAUUGCAAUACAAGUUGAUAAUAAUCAAAUGGAACUGCUUUCAGCUCCUCCAAAUCAUAGAAACUAUCAUCAUUUUUUGAUCUCAUGAAAGCUAUGUCCUCCUCUAGCUCAUUCAAGGAAUCCCCUGUUUUUGUAUCAUCAUCUUUUAACUCAUCCAAAGCAUUCCCUAUUGGAAGAUUUAAUAUAAAAAUGCUUAGGAGAAUCAAUAAACUUUUCUUUUUUGCCAUGAGCGACAUAUUUU